This 254-nucleotide ribosomal RNA is filed under the name uncultured bacterium. RNAcentral describes it as "partial 16S ribosomal RNA". It matches the Rfam family "Bacterial small subunit ribosomal RNA", at positions 524 to 776 of the family's 1533-position model. The record is from RNAcentral.
UACGUAGGUGGCAAGCGUUGUCCGGAUUUAUUGGGCGUAAAGCGCGCGCAGGUGGUGCGGUAAGUCUGCCGUGAAAUCUCCCGGCUCAACUGGGAGGGGGCGGUGGAGACUGCCGGACUGGAGGGACUCAGAGGCCGGUGGAAUUCCCGGUGUAGUGGUGAAAUGCGUAGAGAUCGGGAGGAACACCAGUGGCGAAGGCGGCCGGCUGGGGGUGCCCUGACGCUGAGGCGCGAAAGCGUGGGGGAGCGAACCGG